UAUCUCUGUAGAGUCUGCAUAUCAAUAAGCGGAGGAAAAGAAACUAACAAGGAUUCCCCUAGUAACGGCGAGUGAAGCGGGAAGAGCUCAAAUUUGAAAUCUUCAAGGUUUGACCUUGACGAAUUGUAGUUUAAAGAAGUGUUUUCGGUUAGAGGAGUAGUAAAAGUUCUUGGAAUAGGACAUCAUAGAGGGUGAGAAUCCCGUAUUUGACUAUUCUUUCUAGCUUUGUGAUACACUUUCAAAGAGUCGGAUUGUUUGGGAAUGCAGUCCAAAAUGGGUGGUAAAUUUCAUCUAAAGCUAAAUAUUGGCGAGAGACCGAUAGCGAACAAGUACCGUGAGGGAAAGAUGAAAAGAACUUUGAAAAGAGAGUUAAACAGUACGUGAAAUUGUCAAAAGGGAAGCGUUUGACACCAGUGUUGUUUUUCUCGAAAAUCAAUUAAAAAUUGAUUCAUGCCAGGUUGUAUUGACCUUAUCAGCUUGCAAUUUGGUUUUGGGUCUCUUUUUGAUGCACUUUUCGGUUAACAAGUCAACAUCAAUUUCCUUUGCUGUAAAAAGGUAAGAGGAAGGUGGCUUCAAUUUCGGUUGAAGUGUUUAUAGCCUUUUAUCUCUGCAGUCGGGGAGAUUGAGGUCUGCAGCGUAGAUCCUUCGGGGCUAGAUACAUUUAUGCUAAGUUAUAGCUUUUCAUAGACAACUUGUUGACUAUGUCUAGUCAUGUAGCUUACUCGUAAGUGCUAUUUUACCUACGCUUAGGAUGUUGAAGACUCUACAGAGAUA
Molecule: ribosomal RNA, 774 nt
Filed under: uncultured Neocallimastigales
Lineage: Eukaryota; Fungi; Neocallimastigomycota; Neocallimastigomycetes; Neocallimastigales
Description: partial large subunit ribosomal RNA
Rfam family: Eukaryotic large subunit ribosomal RNA
Source: RNAcentral